Long non-coding RNA from Bombus pyrosoma, 4066 nucleotides. RefSeq lists it as uncharacterized. The transcript is spliced from 3 exons. Lineage: Eukaryota; Metazoa; Arthropoda; Insecta; Hymenoptera; Apidae. The record is from RefSeq and is a predicted model, not a curated record.
AAAUAUGACGAGAACAGAGUAGUCGCAUUCUAGUUCAUAGUCUACGAUGGCGAGAUUUAGUAAGCGACGAUAACUAACCGAGCUAAUUUCUAAAUAAAUUCGACGUGUGCGAGAAAUGUACAGAAUAUACAGACAGAGAUGCACUUACGCGUAUAAAUAGAAAAUAUAUUUCCGUCCAAGUUUCAUUUAAUCGCCCGAUACUUAUGGACUUACGAGAGCAGCUUGGUUUGGAUUAGAAUUUUAGAAAACGAAGCUACAAACCGAUAUCCAGUGGAUAGCUUAACGUAGGUAAAAAGUUUGGUUUUCCUGUUCGUUGCAUUUGAUUAUCCUAAGAUUCGAUGGCUGAAGCGAUCGUGUAGCGAAUGAAAGACGACGUUCCGCUGUUGGAACAGACCUUGUGAAAUAAAAUAUUUGUUUCCGGUAAGAAGGAUCGUCGACGUGUUCUACCGCUGUAGGUGCUCCUUGAUACCUGACGUCUCUAAGAGGAUUACGUAUUACCCGCGAAUUCGAGGAGGAAACAAAAUGGACUUUCGGUUUGGUGCGAGGCAAGGGUAACACGUGGACGGGGUGCUCCGUAGAAAAAGUGAAGUGUGAGGGGAAAAAGGAAAGGAAAGCACGAAGUAACACGAAGAGAGGAAAGAUAAAGUGCAAACACACGAGGAGGAAAGAAGGAAAGAAAGAUGGUAACUAAAUACCGUGACAAAACCAAACAGACAGAAAACUACACGCUUCUUUGAUUCUACUACUUGUCUAUCCGAUGAAUAUACGUAUUGUAACCUGAAUCCUGGCCAGUGAUGUUCAAGAGACCGAGCAGCUGAUCCAUCAAGUUUCGUGAUUCCUUUAUCGAAACGAAGAGAAAAGCGUGCAGAGGGUUAUAGGCACAGAUACUUGUUAAAUAUAAUGGGUUAUCCCACGAGACACCGUGUACGGACGAGAUUCGACACACCUCCAAUUCGCUGGUGUCCAUUCGCUUCCGGAACCCGCCUACGGUGCAAUGCCAAAACAACCUCGAUGCUAUUGUCUAUCGCAAUAACGUCGCGGUGAUUGAUGGAUCUGCCGCGUCUCUCCCAUAUAUCGUUGUACGAAUCACAGACAUUUUCUAUGUUAGAAAGACGUAGGAGCUGGAGAACGCUACGGCAGCAUCGUCCCGGUACGAAUUUUUCUCAAAAUAUAGCACUGGAAACCAGGUAACGAAUCUGACCAGUUUUGCCAAAAUACUUGGUUUCCUAUCGAUCGGAUCCAGAUGAAAACAUGCAUUGUCGUUACUUUUACGACUGUGUAGGUACCUAUUUUACCUGUGUAGGUACCAUACCCAGGAAAAUUAGUCUUCUCUCCAAGAUUUCGUUCACGGUACGAUAAACCGUGCAACGUGUUCCCAUCGUCGUCUACCAAAACGACGACGAAUAUACAAAAAUCUACGGUUGUUCGUACAGUUGUACUCUUCGCUAUGAAUAUUUGCGAAAAUUAAUUUGGCUAACUGACAGCAAGCAACCGACAAUUAUUCGCAUCGAAAGUAUCGCGUCGUAGAACGUACGUAGAGCGAGAAAUCUGAAAGAAUGUCGGAGAAAAUUCAUCGGUAUUGGAUCCAUGGCAAAUCUUCCCUCGGGAUAACUCGAGUUUCUCGAAGGAUAGAUAAUUCAGGGCGGAAGAGUCCAACCUCCUAGACCGUGUGCUCGUCGGUUUGCCCUUGUAACGAAUUCUAGCGCGAGAAAAGGCGCGGACGUUUCAAAGGAUCGAGCCUGGCAAUGAUCGAGAGUGAUGUAUCGAUCUUGGUUCGUGCCACGCGUUCGCUUGCAGUCGCAUCGAGCCACGGUUCUCCAUCUUCCUGAAAAGUCAAACAGACUGUUGCAAGCUUGUUCGUGUACGCCAGCCCUCCUCCCUUUCGUCGUUUUUCCCGAUAUUCAAAAUGUAUAAUGUGGAUUUAAGAAUCCCAAGGGGCGCAUCGAUCGACGGGUUUCCAGUUAACUUUUUCCAAGCUGAAAAACUUGUAUUUUCGCAUAAUUUAACUUACCUAAAACGGCAAGGUUACUUGUACAUUGAAAUUAUCACCAUUCUGACGCACUGUUUUCGCAAUGUCGGGUUUUCAUUAGAGUUGGGGACGUAUAAUGGAUCUUCGCGUGAAUUGACCGUCGUUGUAAUGUACUAGGGAUGAUAUUUACCGAUACAAACGUGAUUAUUACAGAGUGUGACAAGUAAGAACUGCGAUCGGAUGAUCGAGAUGUCGAUGACAAUGAAUUUAGGUUCGAUAAGGAAUCCACGGCCAAGGGGAUGACGAAUGCCAUGUGAUACACGAUCCUGGUGUGACUUAACGUACAAGUAGAACUUAUCCGAAUGAACUGAAUCGCAGUCCAAGUGGAACUGCCCUUAUAUAUUCCUCUCCGUAUCUCACGGGUCAAUCUUUGUUUUUAAGGAGAGCUAUAUAAUUAUUGCAUACCUGUGUUAGGUACACGUCCUUCCCGUGACCGUGGCUACGUUCGGUGACUCAUUAUGUCAUCUCGAGCCCCCAAGCCCAUCGUUAUAAACCUCGGGCACCCAUACUCGGAUUAGAAGAUAAACAACUAUUCCUCAGUUUUAUUAUUUAAGUGCAGCUAUAAUAAAAAGUCUUGACCAAAGUAUCGGGAACCUUCCCAAACGUUCCAAAAGAAAGGCCCCGAUGUCCUUUCAUCUCCGACAUAUACAGAUAGAUAGAUAGAUGUUCACUGUUUAAACGUUUCGCGCCUUUCGUAAGAUUGGAUCGGAUCGAUGAUCUUAUCCGGUUUAACGCAAAUUCAGAUCAUCGAGUAAGUGUAUAGUUCGUUGAAAUUAUUCAUUUGAAAAACGGUGUAUUUAACAAAGGCAUUGGAAAAGAUCAAUUUCUCGAUCGACAUUAGGGUAAAAGGCGGACUUUAGCGAACGUAAAGUCAGGUAGAUGAAAAUUGGAGGAAACCGUUCGGAAAUUUAUUAUCGAAAAACGGUCCGACCUUCGACAUCAAUGGAUCUGAAAAUUGAACUUAAACGCAGUUCGGGCCUACGAGGGGGAAAAAAUCGGUAAUUUCGUCGAAAAAUCGGUGCAACGGCUGUACCGGCUGAUCCGUACACCUGAAUUACGUUCUACAGAGCGGAGGCUAAAAUUUUUGGACAAAAAACCUCAAUCGCCGAACCAACCACCCGUUUGAUUACACGUAAUGAUCGACAUUUGAUUCUGGAAUAACCGCGGAUAAGGUUACACGUACGGGGUAGUCGAAGAGCCCUUCAGCUUUUGCGCGGAUUGAUUUAUGAAAGUUGCCAACUGAAAUGAUUUCCGCGAAAUUUUUUUCCCCGUUGAAAUUAUAAAAGUUAGAGGCGACAGUCGUGCUAACGAUAAAGCGACGGAAAAACGAAACGCAGAUUUUUUUUUUUUUUUUUUAAUUACGCGCAACGCAAAGUACCGUCGAAACACGGUUUCGUCCGUCGAUUUUGAUUUUCGAUAAUUAACAUAAUUAGUAGUGGAUGCGAUGAGAAAAUAAUUGUAAUCGACAGACCGAGACAGACGAAACAUCGGUCGCAACGGAUCGUAAUCCCAGAAACGAGAUUAUUCGAAACAUUUUAUGAUUGAAGCGUAAACGUCUUUAAUUCCAAUAGGAAAGAAUUACGCGCCACGUAAUUGCGUCAUUACCCGAUACUAACUUUUACGAUAUACUCGGAAUAAUUAUUUUAUAUGUUUAGCACGGUUAACGCUUUACUCGCUCGUUUAAGACACAAACGAUACUCUAGAGGCGGAAUUCCAAUACGAUUUCUUCCUUUCUUACGAGCGUAAAUCGUACAAAACUGUAAUUAUAUCACGUUACGUAACAACGUGUAGCAUCGUAGUUUCGAAUUCCUCGAGUUUACAGUUUCCUACGAGUGGCUGAACCCGAUAUCUUUCGUUUAAAUAGCUGCUUUUAUAUACUUGUUUCUCUUUAAUGCUACCCGUUAUUAUACCUAAAACAUGCGUUUCACCGCUUAUUUAUUUUACGAUGCAAGAUUAGAGCUGCUCUAUCCCUUGAUUUCUGUAAAAUAACGAAACUCUAACAAUUACCAUGCGAUAUGGCAUAAUGUAAUAUUUUAU